AGAUGGCUAAACUCAAACUAAAACAUUGGAUCAUAAUAUGCGCUGUCAUAGUAACACUGUUCCUUAUUCAUACACAAGGUUGGUAACUGUAGAAUAAAGACAAUAUUUGCAUUAAUAUAUCUGCUAAUCAAGAGGUAAAUAAUAUGUCUUUUUCAGUUAUAAGACAAAGCAAGUUGAUCCGAACAGAAAAACGAGAGCUCCUGGUGUCAACAGGUAACCAAUCAGAGUCUCUUAUGGAGGAUAAGCACCAAUCAGAAACAAUCGUAUGAACAGGACAGAGCUCUCGAAGUACAGAUACACAUAUGAAGGCUGUUAAGUGCAUGAAUCAUUGCAAUCUUUGUAUAUGAAGGGUUUAAAAUGCUUUUACUUGGUCAGGCAUUUAGUCCUAAUGAUUAGGUGCAUGUGAAAUGAUGAAUGUGGUGGUUAAACCUGGUAAUGAGGCUCAUGUGUACAGGGUCUACUUCUGUGUAUGUGAUUUAGGAGGAUUUUACAGGGCUGUAAAGAAUGGUUUGCAGAUUGAUAAAUAAAUUUAGCAAGGUAUAAAUCAGUGUAAUCUUCAUUUACCCAGAGAUCCCAGCUGAGCACAUUGACCCCGCCUCCAUAGAUCUUACUGGACUCGUCAACACACUCAUCAAUGCUUCACAACAAGGUUCACAGCAUCUUUUCUCCUUACUCAGUGUGACAUCACACAGUUCACUCUCUCUCCACAAGCUCACGCUGCUGGUCUACAAUAGUAACUACCCUUAUCCACACAGCCAAAUCACACUGUAACUACAGCACUAAUACUGCACAAAUAUGAUGUAAUUCUGUGUGUGUUUGCAUGCGUGUAUCUGUGUGUCAUGUACACAUGUAUGGGUGUGUGUAGUCUCAGACUUUCAGGACAUUGAGAGCAGUUUAUUUCCAUUAAGAUACUGUUACUGUCUGACAAACAAGACCAAUGACCUCACAGAUUUCACAGCUAUUCUGUUGGAUGUAAUGGGAAACUCCACCAGUUACCUGCAAGAACUAUUUAAGUCCAGCUCUAUCCUCUCAGUCAGUCAGAAGAACAGCUCUGAUUGCAUCUAUAUCUGUGUCAUGGCUGGAAAGUCAGACAGUGAUCUGUCUCAGCUCUGGGACAUGGGCUCAGUCAGACCUCUGUUUAAUCAGACCAUCACAGAGGAAAUACCCAGAGGUAAUGUGACAUUUCCAUUGCUGCCCUUUGUAGUGUGGCAUGACCUCCCAAACACUAGUGAACUGGUACUAUGGCCUAAACCCAGUACAGAUUCCCACAGGAGCAGAGUACCUACCUCUACAAUAACAUCAACACCACUUAUUAGAUCAACAGCAGCUCCUGAAACUACCUUCACUGUGACGACCACCACAACCUCACCCACUAGUGAUCUCACAACUGCUGUGAUCACCCAGCCAAAAGCUGUAACGGUAACCACAAAUGCCAUCACUCCAAUGAUGACCAUGACAGUUUCACCGCCAACGCAGAGACAAACAACUACGACAGGCAUCCAGCUGCUCACUAAAGUAUCUCAUACAGAAAAACCAGGAUGUCCAUGGAGAAUAGAGCUAUUUCAUCAAGCAAGUGAGAAUGAGGACCUGAAAGAGACCCUUGAAGAGGAGCUGAUCUGGGGCAGGGCGACCAUCAGCUCAGUGAAGCUGCAGCCGUGUGUGUUUGAGCUGUGCAAGUUUUACUCUCAAUGUGUGUGCAGAGGAUUCAGUCACAGAGCAGCAGAGUUACAGCGAUAUUGUGUGGAUAGCCAUCGCUGGUAUGAGAGACAUACAGCAGAGGUCUGCAGUCGUAUGAGGAGAGUCACUUUUUCCAAAAAUCUGAAACAGAAAUGUCUGGCAAGAAUGUGUGUGAAGAUGUAAGACAAGAACUGAGUUCAUUUGCGGGGUGACAGACAUCUGAACCACCUGAACUAAAAUUUAUGUACAGUAUGUUUGAGAGAAACUGGGUUCUGUUAAAUACUGAACUGCAUUGUCUUCAUUGAAUCUGUAUAGUCUAUGCAUCUAGUGUCUAAAUUGCACUUCUGAAUAUAAAUAAAACCAAACAUAUUUACCCA
Cyprinus carpio (common carp) is the source of this 2054-nucleotide long non-coding RNA. Lineage: Eukaryota; Metazoa; Chordata; Actinopteri; Cypriniformes; Cyprinidae. The record is from Ensembl.